This 594-nucleotide ribosomal RNA is filed under the name Triticum aestivum (bread wheat). RNAcentral describes it as "partial small subunit ribosomal RNA". Lineage: Eukaryota; Viridiplantae; Streptophyta; Magnoliopsida; Poales; Poaceae. The record is from RNAcentral.
AUGGCUAGAGGCUACGCAGGCCGGAUCCAGGCCUUCUCCAAAGCCGCUCUUCUUGGUUUGGUCCUCUUAUCCAUGGUGACCUGGGUACCGCAUGCGUGUUCUUGCCUGAGGGCCUUCCUCUUUGUGUCACUUCCUUCUGCUGCUUCAGCGAUCGCCACACCCAAGUGCCUCUUCAUCUUCUCCAACAUCAUCGUCCUCUUCCUCGCCACCGAGUCCAGGCUCUCGCGGAACGGUGCUCGAUCCCCGAGCACUGGUGAGGAUGACAUAGAUGCUGUGGUCCGUGAGCUUGUGGCUUUUACACAUGCAAUCAAAGAGACCCAUGCUGCAGAAGAGAUCGUCAAAGCAGAACAAGAAGUUAGUGUACGCAUGACCACGCAGCAGCUAGAUCAAUGUGAAAAGGAAGAAGAGAGCGACGUCGCACUGGUUAACAAUAAUGUUGGUGAUGACCUGCAAGAAGAGGUGAUGAAGGAAGAAGACUGUGAGGAGUCAACGGAGCUGCCUACUGAGGAGCUGAAUAGGAGAGUGGAAGACUUCAUUGCAAGAUUCAACAUGGAGAGGCAGCUCGAGGCAAGGAUGGUCGUGUGUUGCUGCUGA